RNAcentral lists this ribosomal RNA (505 nucleotides) under uncultured bacterium. RNAcentral's name for it is "bacterial SSU rRNA". It matches the Rfam family "Bacterial small subunit ribosomal RNA", at positions 410 to 907 of the family's 1533-position model. The record is from RNAcentral.
GAAAUCCCUCGGGAUGUAAACUUCGCAAGAACGGGAAGAAUAAGCCUGCGUAAAUAUCGCAGGUGAUGACGGUACCGUUUGUAAGCUCCGGCUAACUCCGUGCCAGCAGCCGCGGUAAUACGGGGGGAGCAAGCGUUGUUCGGAUUUACUGGGCGUAAAGGGCGCGUAGGCGGCCAGCGCAAGUCAGUUGUGAAAUCUCCGAGCUUAACUCGGAAAGGUCAACUGAUACUGCGCGGCUAGAGUGCGGAAGGGGCAACUGGAAUUCUUGGUGUAGCGGUGAAAUGCGUAGAUAUCAAGAGGAACACCUGCGGCGAAGGCGGGUUGCUGGGCCGACACUGACGCUGAGGCGCGAAAGCUAGGGGAGCGAACGGGAUUAGAUACCCCGGUAGUCCUAGCCUUAAACGAUGAAUGCUUGGUGUCUGGGGUUAUAAAGUCCCCGGGUGCCGUCGCUAACGCUUUAAGCAUUCCGCCUGGGGAGUACGGUCGCAAGACUGAAACUCAAAGG